AACGAACGCUGGCGGCAUGCCUAACACAUGCAAGUCGAACGAGACCUUCGGGUCUAGUGGCGCACGGGUGCGUAACGCGUGGGAACCUGCCCUUAGGUUCGGAAUAACUCCCCGAAAGGGGUGCUAAUACCGGAUAAUGUCUUCGGACCAAAGAUUUAUCGCCUUUGGAUGGGCCCGCGUUGGAUUAGCUAGUUGGUAGGGUAAAAGCCUACCAAGGCGACGAUCCAUAGCUGGUCUGAGAGGAUGAUCAGCCACACUGGGACUUAGACACGGCCCAGACUCCUACGGGAGGGAGCAGUGGGGAAUAUUGGACAAUGGGCGAAAGCCUGAUCCAGCAAUGCCGCGUGAGUGAUGAAGGCAUUAGGGUUGUAAAGCUCUUUUACCCGGGAUGAUAAUGACAGUACCGGGAGAAUAAGCUCCGGCUAACUCCGUG
RNAcentral lists this ribosomal RNA (433 nucleotides) under uncultured bacterium. RNAcentral describes it as "partial 16S ribosomal RNA". It matches the Rfam family "Bacterial small subunit ribosomal RNA", at positions 29 to 507 of the family's 1533-position model. The record is from RNAcentral.